Molecule: RNA transcript, 15779 nt
Organism: Pan troglodytes (chimpanzee)
Lineage: Eukaryota; Metazoa; Chordata; Mammalia; Primates; Hominidae
Exons: 8
Source: RefSeq, a predicted model, not a curated record
CCGCGCAGCGCGUCCGGCCCGCCCGCAGGCCAGCUUCUCUCGGGAGCCCCCACCCAGGCUCAUGGCUCCAUGAAGCAAGAGGAGGAGGCAGAGCGCGAGAGGUCCCGUCCGCCCCAGCCGCGUCUGGGCCAGGAGAAAAGCAAAACCAUAUUCCUGCUGCUGUCAGUUAUGAUGCACUGAGAAAACUUCGGAGACCUAAACUUUUUCCAGAGAAGAGAAGCUUUACUGGUGUUCCAGCCCUAAGCAACCAUCUUUCCUGUGAAAAAUUCCCUCUCCUAGUACUUUAGUUCUGUGGAUCCAAAAUUUAUAGCAUUCUUCUACCACCACAGGGGCUCAUAUGACAUUAACAGACAAGACACUUUUCAGAAAGACAGGCAACGUGUUGGACCUUCCUGAGCUUCUCAGAAGACAGAGGAUUUUCUUUUGAGGCUGUUGUACAGUGGCCUGAUUAUAGCUCACUGUAGCCUCGAAAUUUUGGGCUGAAAUGAUCCUCCUGCCUCAGCCUCCAAAGUAGCUGAGACUACAGGCUGGUCUUGAACUCUUGGGCUGAAGAGAUCCUCCCACCUCAGCCUCCCAAGGUGUUGAGAUUACAAGCAUGAGCCACCUCACCUGGCCAAGAGCUAGUUGUUAAAAGAGCCUAGCACUACCCCCCUCUUUCUUGUUUGCUCUCUAACCAUGUGAUCUCCACACACAUUGGCUUGCCUUCCCUUUCUGACAUGAGCGGAAGCAGCCUGAGGCCCUCACCAGAUGUGGAUGCCAGUGCCAUGCUUCUUGUACAAUCUGCAGAAUCAUAAGCUAAAUACACCUCUUUUCUUUAUAAAUUACCCAGCCUUGGGUAUUCCUUUAUAGCAACACAAACAGAGAAAGACAUAUGCAAUUUGCCAUUUUAAUCAUUUUUAACUGUACAAUUUGGUGGUAUUAAUUAUAUUUACAAUGUUGUGCAACCGUUACCACCAUCUAUUACCAAAGCCCUUUCAUCACCCCAAAUAGAAACUGUGCUUAUUCAGCAAAAACUCCCAUUUUCCUCUCCUUCCAGCCCCUGGUAACCUCUGGUAACCUCUAAUCUACCUCCUGUCUCUAUGAAUUUGCCUAUUGUAAAUAUUUCACAUAAUGGUAUCAUACACUAUCCUUUUGUGUCUAGCUUAUUUCACUUAGCAUAAUGUUUUCAAGGUUCAUCUAUCUUAUAGCAUGUAUCAGUAUUCCAUUCUUCUUUUCUAUGGCUGAAUAAUAAUUGUAUGUAUAUACUGCAUCUUGUUUAUCCAUUUAUCUUUUUGUUUGUUUGUUUUUUAAAGACAGGGUUUUACCAUGUUGGCCAAGCUAGUCUCGAACUCCUGAAUUCAGGUGAUCCGCCCACCUUGGCCUCACAAAGUACUGGGAUUACAGGCGUGAGCCAUCGUGCCUGGCCUAUCCGUUUAUCUUUUGAUAGACAUUUUGGUUGUUUCUACCUUUUGUCUAUUGUGAAUAAUGCUGCUAUGAACAUUAGUGUACAAGUCACUGUUUAAGUUGUUGUCUUCAAUUCUUUUGGGUAUUGUAUUAGGCCAUUCUUGCAUUGAUAUAAAGAAAUACCUGACACUGGGUAAGUGCCAAAGAAAAAAGGGUUUAGUUGGCUCACAUUUCUGCAGUCUGUACAGGAAGCAUAGCAGCAUCUGCUUCCAGGGAGGCUUCAGGAAGCUUCCAAUCAUGAUGGAAGGCAAAGUGGGUGCAGGCAUGUCACAUGGCAAAAGCCAGAGCAAGAGAGGAAGUGGGGAGGUGCUGCGCACUUUUAAACAAUCAAAUCUUGUGAGAACUCACAAUCUUGAUGACAGCUAGAGAUGGUGAAGCCACUCAUGAGAAACCACUCCCAUGAUCCAAUCACCUCCCACCAGGCCCCAACUCUAACACCGGAGAUUAAUUACAUUUCAACAUGAGAUUUGCAUAGGAACAAACAGUCAAACUAUAUCCGGUAUAUACUUAAGAGUAGAAUUACUGCUUGAUAAUUCUGUUUUACGUUUUGAGGAAUUGCCAAACUAUCUUCCUCAGCAGUUAAACCAUUUACAUUCCCACCAGCAGUAUACUAGGUUUCCAAUUUCUCCACAUGUUCAACAACACUAGUUAUUUUUUCUUCUAAUUAUAGCCAUUCUAGUAGGUACAAAGUGGUAUCUCAUUGUGGUUUUAGCAUCUUUUGAGUUGCUAAUGACCAUUUACAUGUCUUUUUUUUAGAGAAGUGUCUAAGUCUUUUGUCCAUUAAAAAAUUGAGUUAUUUAUCUUUUAUUUGUUGAGUUGUAGGAUUCUUUAUGCGUUCAAUUCUUUUGGGUAUUUUAUUAGGCCAUUCUUGCAUUGCCAUAAAGAAAUGCCUGAGUAUAUUAGUUUUUUGUCAGAUAUAUGAUUUGCAAACAUUUUCUCCAAUUUUUUGUGUUAUCUUUUCACUCUCUUUAUAGUGUCACUUGAUACACAAUUUUGAUGAAGUCCAAUUUAUCAGUUGUUUCAUCACUUGUACUUUUGAUGUUAUAUUUAAGAAACCAUUGUCAAACCCAAGGUCAUGAAGAUUUUUCAGUAUGUUUUCCUCUAAGAGUUUUAUAGCAUUUAAUAUUUAAGUGUUUUAUAGCAUUAAAUUUUGGUCUUCGAUCCAUUUUGAGUUAAUUUUUGUACAUUGUGUAAAAGUAUAGGUCCAACUUCAUUCUUUUGCUUGUGGGUAUCUAGUUUCCCCAACACCAUUUGUUGAAGAGAUUGUCCUUUUCCCCAUUGAGUGAUCCUGGAACCCUUGCUGAAAAUUAAUUACCCAUAGAUGUGAGUGUUAGUUCUGGCCUCUCGAUUCUAUUCCAUUGGUCUAUGUUGUCUAUCUCUGUGCCAAGUCCAUGCUAUUUCAAUUACUGUAGCGAUGUAGUAAAUUUUAAUAUCAGAAAAUGUGAGUCCUACAACUUUGUUCCUCUUCAGAUUAUUUUGGCUAUUUUGGGUUCCUUGAAAUUUUAUAUGAAUUUUAGAAUAGGUUUUUCCAUUUCUGCCAAAAGCGCUGUUGGGAUUUUAAUAGCGUGAUUACAUUGACUCUACAUAUCAUUUUGAGUAGCGUUGUCAUUUUAACAAUAUUAAAUCUUCCAACUUAUGAACACAGGAUCUCUUUCCAUUUAUUUAAGUCUACUUUAAUUUCUUUCCAGAAUGCUUUGUAGUUUUCAGUGUACAAGUCUUCUGCCUUCCUGGUUAAAUUGAUUUCUAAAUAUUUUAUUCUUUUGGGUACUACUGUAAAUAAAAAAUUCUUAAUUUCCUUUUCAGAUUUUUUACUGCUAGUGUGUAGAAACACGACUGAUUUUUGUGUGUUGAUUUUGUAUUCUGAAGCCUUGCUAAAUUUGUUUAUUAGCUUUAAGAGGCUAUUUUUGGUAUUCUUUAGGGCUUUCUACGCUUAUAUCACUUGCAAAUAGAGAUAGUUUUACUUCUUCCUUUCUAAUUUGGAUUUAUUUUAUUUCUUUUUCUUGCCUGAUGGGUCUGGCUAGAACUGCCAAUACUAUGUUGAAUAGAAGUGGCAAACACAGGCAUCCAUGGCUUCUGAUUUUAGUGGAAAAGCUUGAAAUUUUUCGCCAUUGAGAAUGAUGUUAGUCGUGAGUUUUUAAUACAUGGUCUUUAUCAUGUUGAGACAGUUCCUUUCUAUUCCUGGUUUGUUGAACAGUUCUAUCAUAAAGGAGGAAUGGAUUUUCUCAAAUGUUCUUCUAUAUCAAUUGAGAUGAUCAUGAGUUUUUCACUCCUUCAUUCUAUUACUUGGUGUAUUACAUCGACUGAUUUUCAUACGUUAAACCACUCUUAAAUUUCUGGGAUAAAUCUCAGUUGGUCAUAGUGUAAAAUUCUUUUAAGGGCUGCUGAAUUUAAUUUCCUAGUAUUUUGUUGGGGAUUUUUGUAUCUAUAAUGCAUUCAUAGGGGACAUUUGGCUAUAGUUUUCUUGUAUUGUCUGUCUAGCUUUGGUAUCAGGGUAAUGUUGGCUGCAUAGAAUGACUCAGAAAGGGUUCUGUUUCUCAAUUUUUUGGAGGAGUUCGAGAAGGAUUAGUGUUAAUUCGUUUCUAAACGUUUGGUAGAAUUCACCAGCGAAGUCAUCAGUUCCUGGGCUUUUCUUUGUUAGGAGAGUUUUGGUUGCUGAUUCAACCAAAAUUGAAUAUCAUUACUUUUUAUAGAUCUAUUCAGAUUUAUUCUUUCUUCUUGAGUCAACUUUGUUGGUUUGUAUGUUUCUAGGAAUUUGUCUAUUUCAUCUAGGUUAUCCAAUUUGUUGACAUAUAGCUGUUAUACGAAUUCUCUUACAAUCCUUUUUAUUCCUAUAAAUCAGUAGUAGUGUCUUUCAUUUCUGAUUUUAGUAGUUGAGUAUUCUUUUUCCUUAAUCUAGUUAAAGCUUUGUUAACUUUGUUGAUCUCUUCAAAGAACUAAUUUUUUGUUUCAUUGAUUCUAUUGUUUUUCUAUUCUCUAUUUCAUUUAUUUUUGCUCAAAUCCUUAUUAUUUCCUUCCUCUUUGUGGCUUCAAACUCAAUUGAACAUAAAGUAUUAAGAAAUUUGACUUUUUUCUCAAAUGUCUAAAAUGUGUAAGAAGAAAUAUAUCUAGAGUCAUGAAAAAGCAGCCUGUUUGUCAGAUUUACUGUUUAAUCCAUGUAAACAGCUUUCAUAUAAUUCAUGAUAGAAUAUUAUUAUGUGCUUUGGAAGACACUGAGGAAAGACAAAAGGUCAUUGGGCAGAACCACCCUAGAUUGACUGUUAAGGCCAUCUUCUAGUUUGCAGGACUUGUGGUAGACAGACAGAAUAAUAUCCUGGACCUCUUGGGUGUAUACAGGACAAACUGAAAUAAACUCUCAUUUUUAGAUCAUAAUGUCAUCAUGAAACAUAUCAAUUUGGUCUAUUUCUGAAGAAAACAAGCACAAUGAUAAAGUUUGAAUGUUUGUCUCCUCCAAAUCUCAUGCUGACAUUUGAUCCCCAAUGUUGGAGGUGGGGCGCACUGGGAGGUGUUUUGGUUACGGGGGCAGAUCCCUCAUGAAUGGCUUGGUGCUGUCUUCAUGGGAUUAAGUUCUCACUCCUACUUCCCGUGAGAUCUUAUUGUUAAAAAGAAUCUGAUACCUUCCUCCCCUCUCUUGCUCUCUUCCUCCCUGAUCAUGUGACACACGGGUUCCCCUUUGCCUUCCACCACGAUGGAGGCUUCCUGAGGCCCUCAACAGAAGCAGAUGCUGGCGCCAUGCUUCUUGUACAGCCUGCAGAAUUGUACAAAUCAACUCAAAGAAACCAACUCAAAGAAAGAUGGGUCUACAUACAACAAAACUGAACAAAAUCUGCAAGAAGAGUGAUUCAUACAUGGGCUAUUGAGGCAACAUGAAAUGGACAUUAAUCGACUAAGUAAAAAACAGAUUUCUUGAAGAAUUAAUAAAGAACUUUUGUUUUGAAAGUUCUCUAUUGUUUAAAAUUAGCCAGAUGUGGUGGCCUGCACCUACAGUCCCAGCUACUCAGGAGGCUGAGGGGGAAGGAUCACUUGAGCCCAAGAGGCGGAGGUUGCAGUGAGCUGAGACUGUGCCGCUGCACUACAGACAGCCUCCUGCGUGACAGAGCCAGACCCUGUCUCAAAACAUGGGGGGGAAGAAAGUUCUCUAUUGUUUGAAAUAAUAAGGAAACAUUAAAGGCUCUAAAGUCAGCUAACCAAUAGUCCUAAAAAUAGAAUGGCUCAAAAAGAUUGUCCAAUUUUGGAAAACUAACAUUUCAAAAAGUUGUUUCAUUUUUUAUGAAUCCUAAGAUUUCCAUAUCCUAGAAAACUAACAUCUCAGAAAAAAAAAAAAAAAGAUGGUAAAACACAAUUGCCAUCAUCUAUGCCUAUUCUGGAAAAAUACAGAGAAGAAGAGAGUGUUUGGUUUUUUUAACCAGGAUUUGGAAAGCCAUUAUUUAUCUCUGUGAUAGAAUAACAAUAUGUUUUGGAUGGAGGGUAAUUCUAGGGGAAAUUAUAUUUCUGAACAACAGUGUUGGUUUGUGCAGGAAAAUCACCAAAGAACAUGACUAGAAAGUGUAUAGCUACAGUUUCCCUCUUUUAAAUGGGAAUAGCAAAACAUAUAAAGAAUAUUGAUAGGCCGGGUGCGGCGGCUCACGCCUGUAAUCCCAGCACUUUGGGAGGCCGAGGCGGGCGGAUCAAGAGGUCAGGAGAUCGAGACCAUCAUGGCUAACAUGGUGAAACCCCGUCUCUACUAAAAAAUACAAAAAAUUAGCCGGGCGUGGUGGUGGGCGCCUGUAGUCCCAGCUACUCGGGAGGCUGAGGCAGGAAAAUGGCGUGAAUCCGGGAGGUGGAGCUUGCAGUGAGCCGAGAUCGUGCCACUGCACUCCAGCCUGGGUGACAGAGCGAGAGACUCUGUCUCAAAAAAAAAAAAAUUAAAAAAGAGUAUUGAUAAUUUAAACCUACUACAAUUUUGCUUCUAGUUUCUCAAGUAGUUCUGUGGAUUUAGAACCAACAUUUGCUGGGGGGAAAGAAUUACCAACAUCAAAGUCCUAGGAUGUGUCAGGGCACCAGAAGAGAAGUUUUGUCACUGUAAAAUAACUCUCUUGGCAGAGCAUGAUAGACACUGUAAACAGCAGGUUACUUCAAUGGUUAUGUGCGGUUCAGUGAAGAUCUCUACAUUAACUGAAGCACAACUCACUGCGUCCCAGGCUCUCCUGGUUCAUGUGUGAUACACUGCACUUGGGGUGGAGGUGUGCUGACAGUUGUAAAGGGCCGAGCCUUUCUUUCCCGUGGCUCUGAUGCACGGUUUCCAGAUACCAGUCAUGAAGGAAGUUCUUGAGAUUAUGGACUUUGUCCUAGUCACAUAGGGCUGCUAGGACAAAGUGCCAUAGACUUGGGGGUGGUGGCACAUAUUAAAAAAAGAAAUGUAUUUGUCACAGUCUGGAGGCUGGAAGUCCGAGGUUAGCAUCCCAGUGGGCAAGGUUCUGGUGAGGGCUCUCUCUCUGGCUUGCAGAUGGCCGCCUUCUCACUGUGUCCUCGUGUCAGGGAGAGAGAGAGCUCUGGGGUCUCUGCUUCUUACCAGGGCCCUAAUCCCAUCAUUAGGGCCCCACCCUUAUGGUCUCUUCUAACCCUGAAUAACUCCCAAAGGCCCCAUUUCCAAAUACCAUCACGUUGGGGGUUAGGGCUUCAGCACAGGAACUGGGCGGGGGAUGUAUGUUCAGUCUACCAGAGCCCCCCAGUCAGCCCCACUGUGCCCAUUUAGGGGCAGAUUGUAGGGCUCAGGUGGGACACAGAGGUGGAGGAAGCACAAGUUCUGCUUCCUAGGAAUGGCUCAGCCAAGACAAGGACAGGGACAGUGGGAUAGACAACGGCCAGUGGGGUAACCAGCAGGAGCCCCAAGGUGUCACUUUCACCCUUAGGUGAGGAAGUUGGCUGGGCACCCACACACGCCAGAGUAUGGACCAUGUUCCCUUCAAACAUGGCUCACUUAACAUUCCUAAACCCUGCAAAGGGGCAGUGCUACCUUAUCUCCUGAGGAUGGCCCUGAAUGUAGAGGAGUCACGGGAGCUGUCCACAUCACCCACCAGUGACUCUUCGCUCCCCACAUUUUCCCCAAGGGCCUGAUGUGCACUGAGCUGGGGAAGCCCUGCCAAGAUAAACUCUCCUUCCCAAAGGCCACAGAAGACAGCAGGCCUCCGACACUGCCCACAUUGAGCAGAAGGGACGGGGCAGAGGGGCAUCUGUCAGGCUGACUGCUGUGUUCUGUGGGCAGAUGGGGCCAGAGAGGACCCAAACAUGGCUCCCUUUGUCACUUGGCCGAGGGGCCAGGCCACCGUGUACCAGACAGCUUUGCCCCACCAGCCUCUGCUGCUGGGCCAGCCCCCAGCGCCGUGACCACAGCUCUGCACGCAGGCAGUGCUGGGACCAGUGCCCUGGCGGUCACAGGGGUCCUGAGCCAAUAAGCGCCCUGGGGGAGGAAUCAGAACUCAGACCGUGGAGAAGAAGGUGUUGGCCAGGAGGGAACCAGGGUGGGUGCCGGGUCCUGUCCAUGCUGGGAUCUGAGAUUCUAAGAGGUGGGUUAGGGGUAAGGGGGGCAGAAGUUGGCCCAUGGAGUGAGGGCAGUUCAGCAGAGAUUGGGAGGACAGGACAACCUGGGAAAGAGCAGAGCGUCCUCCCCAGCCUCGGUCCCUCUCCUGAUGCAGUCCUCAUCUCACUCAUAGACUCUGGAAGUCUCCCUUUGGCGAACACCUAGCCCCCAACUCCCAGGGCACUUCCCAGACAGCCAAUGCCACAUCCCAGGCAGCCCCUGCUCUGCCCUUGGGGUCUGUGCCUGGCAGAAGGGCGGCUGACCCUCGGCCCCUCUUGGCCUGGGCCCCAGCUCCUCCGGGCCCUGGAACCAGCAGAAACACCCACCCUGCGCCUGAUGGACUGGACAUGCUUGUUCCCAUUGGUGAUGGUGUGUUGGGAGGGAACUGUUUUAGAAACCAAUGUAAAUCUGUGUCUACAUCAAUUCCACAUGAGUUCAGUCAUCAUAUGGGAAGGGAAUCAUAGCUGUGGGGGGCUCCAUGCAGGACCUUGAGGGCCCCGAGGCCAGUCCCUGUGGCCACAGCAAGGAGCAUCUGCUUUAGCUAGUUGGACAAGACUCUCUCCUGCCCAGAAACAGGCAGAAGGACUUCCCCUGCUCCCCACCCAUCAUCGUAUCCCAAACACACCUGUGUGGAUGGUCACCUCAACGUCUCCCCUCAGCCCAGUGCCCGCGCUCUUCCUGAUGAGGGUUAAGCAGGAGCAGCCUCCUCUCCCCAUGUCCAUGUUGCAGGCGGCUGCCUUCUCCUCAGCUCCCACCGAGCAGAACAAGAGCCAGCCAGCUCUCUCCAAUCCCAGGAUUUUCCAGGGAUGCUGAUAACGAUGGGGGGCCUCAAGAAGCCUCCCUAAAGCAGGCAGGGCCUUGUGAGUGGGUGGUGGGAGGGAUCAGGGCUUCCUCAGCAUCUGUCAGUCCCUGGAGCAUCUGAAGGGGCUCCCUACGUCAGGAGGAAAGAGUGGGGCCGGCCCCUGUGGGUUCCCAGAGCCUGGCAUCUGCCAGUUCCUCUGCCCUCCCUCACAGACACCCUCCACGGAGCAGCACAGCACCGAGGACAGAGGCAGCAGCCCCAAGAGCAUUUUCCAAGACAACUACAUUUAUUCACACUUACACACGAGGCCCCCAACGCACUGCUUCCCACCCCCACUCCCCAGCCCCUUCCCCCCAGACCCUCCCUUCCUGCCCUCCCCAUUCAGCCACCCUCUCCCUCCCCUCCCUCCCCUCCCCUCCAAAGCUAAGGCCCAGCAAGAUCAGCACUGGGGGAGAAGAAGCUUUUGACCGCUUUGGGGCAUCGGAUGCCAGAGCCCCAUCCUUGGGGAUCGGCCCCAGAGAGCCUGCUCAGAAGCCCCUACUGGCUACAAUGCUGCUUCUUCUCCUUCCUGGAGACCAAGGGGUCACCCUUUCUCUUUUGAGACUGUGAGGGGCCACCGAGCCCCCAAGUCAGGGAUUGCUCCCCAGAGACGCUGAGCCCAGGCCCUGGGUGGGGUGUCUUUUCAGCAGGGGACAGGCUUCCAAAGAGAGGUCGCUUCUUGGCCGUGUUGGCAGGAGAAGGUGCUAGGUUGAGGCCUCUUCUCUCAGCAGAUGGGGACUGAUGAGUUCCCUGGGGUCCCCACUUUUCUGGGCUGAGAAGGCCCGAGGCAGGGACAGGGCUCUGGGGUAGCCACCAGGGCAGAAGCUUGUGCUGGGAACCCAAGAGGAAGGCCAGGCUGGGGAGUUCCUCCUCCUCACUUGACCCCUGAGCCAGCCCAUGUGACUCCCUGACAGGAGACCCUCCAGGGAGAUCCAAGGCAUCCUUGGUACCCACGCCAGGGCAGGUGGGUCUGUGGUCCUGGGGAGGAGAGGUUGGCCGGGCAGCCCUCAGCCCAGGGGAAUCCUGACAUCCCAAAAGCACAACAGAGUCUUUGGACCUGGCCAUGCCAGUGUGUGCUCUGCCUCGUCCCUGAGAGUCCCGGGCAGUCGUCUGGAGUGGGCAGGUUUCCAUGCCAACCCCUUGUUGGGGGUCAGGGACGUCUCUCUCUGCUCCUUGGCCAGCUGCAAACUUAGAAGAACUUGAGUCCAACCGGGCCGUGCCAUGACUAGGGGCUGCCCUCGCAUGCUGUUUCUCCUUCAAGGGUAGGAGGCGCUUCUCCACUAGCUGCGGGAGGAAAGGGGGCACUUACUGGCACUGUCCCAGGUGUGAGCAGGGCCCAGGGUGGUGGAGACCAGGGCACUUAGGCGGCAGGUAGGGAAGCCUGAGGCAGCUGGGCUUUAUGUCAAAGAGAGAGGGUGUGGCUCUGCCGGGCCUCCCGUUGGGCCUCACCACAGCUUGCAUGCUGACUCCCCUCCCUGGCUCCUGUCCAUCCUACUCCCUCUGAACCUGCAUCUUCCCACUCCAGAGUGGCUCCCCAAGAAGCCGAGCAUCCCCAGCGGGGGGGAUUAGACAAUCAGGUGGGCCUUGUGUGCCAGGUCCCUCCUGCCCCUGGGGUACCUGGGCAAGGGUGAGUCCUUCCUCCUGCUCCAGGUCCUGGCUUAGGGCCAAGAAAUCCAUCUGUGGAUCUGGGGAAAGCAAUUCUUCCAGGAAUCGGGGAUGAAUGACGGCCUCCACCUGGAAACAGAAGGAAGAAGGCGUGAGCUUCCUGGGCAGGGAGUAACCUAGAGCCAAGGACACCUGGAGGAGAUGCAGAAAGCAGCGAGCGCCCCGUCCCCACCCUCCUGGGGCUGUCUCAUAUCAUGGUGACCACCAGCUACAGACACAGACCACAGACCUGGUAGCUACACACACACAGACAGAGACACACAAACCACGCACAGACACACAAACAGACCCACAUAUGACACAGGAAAAGACACAGACACAGGUAACGUACACACUCCACACUCACACCCACACAGACACACAAAGACACACAGUAACAAACCACAGACACAAACACACAGCAACACACAGACACACACAAUCACAUACACAGACACUCAAAUCCAUGGAAAUACACACACUGCUGAGUAGCUAAGGAACAGAGCUUAAUUCCAAGGACCUGGGAGUGCCACCCCCUGGAAUCCAGCAGACCCCAGCACUCCAGGCCAGCCCACCUUGGUGACGAAGUCUUUCUGGGAACACAGCUUGUCAAUGUAGCUCAGGAGGCCCGGGUCUGGGGGCGUCCAGUCCUCUUCCUGUGGCUGCUUCACUUCGCCCUCUUCCCGUUGUUUCUCGGGCUCCCCCGUGGCCCCGAGGGAAGGCCCCAGCAGCUCCUCCAUGAUGUCCACAUACUCCUGCACCACUUCUGGGGGGAUCUCCUCAGGGACCUUGGUCUCUGCUGGUCUCUGGGGCCUGGGUGGUGGCAGGCGGGCCUUGGUCUCUGCUCGCCGGUGGGGCCGGGGUGGUGGCAGGCGGGCCUUGGUCUCUGGCCUCUGGGGCCUGGGUGGUGGCAGGCAGGCAGUCGGGGCCUUGGGGCCGGCCUUGCUGGGAAGGUACACUGAGGCAGAGAGGGAGGAGGACGGGCGUGGUGAGGGCCGCUCCUCCUGCUUGCACCACACAGGGGAGGGCAGGGCUUGGGGAUGUGAAGUGGGUCCCAGCUGGGUCAGGACCACCUGAACCACAGCGCCCCCGGAGGAGGCAGGAGGGGCACAUCUGAGACAGCAUCGCUUGGGAGGAAGUUUGGAGCCACCAAUAUGCCGUGUACUCUCCCCGCUCAUCCCUGCUUCCUGGGCAGAGCAUAUGUGGAGUUUUGGACAGGCGAGGGGAGAGAGUAGCUAGGAAACUUGACCAGGUCAGUACCGAACAUAUGCUCCUGGAAACUGUCCUGUUGGAGGGAGCAAAUCCCCCUCUCGAAGGGAAGCAUGGGGUGUGGGGACAGUGGCCUCCCUUGGCCCCUUUGGCCUUUGCCACGGCUCCUGUGGGAAUGUGGGAAGCCAUACCUGGUUGCUUGACCACCUCAGGGGCCGGGGGUCCUCGAGGUUCAAGCCUCGGUGUGGCUGGAGGAGGCAGGCACUGGGGCCCCUUCAUCCAUUGCGAUUUCUGAAUCUGCAUCUCCUCCUCAGCCUCAAACUCCAGGAACCUGGCGGUGAAGGAGGCCCAGGCUGUGCUGAGAGGGUCCAGGCCCCCUCCCCCCAGGACCAGGCAGCGGCCGAGGGCAGGGAUAGGAGGGAGUGCCUCGGGUGGGCUGUCCAGGCCCUCACUGUGUCCCAUCCCCUAGUCCCAGGAGAAAGCUGCUCCCAGAGUUCUGGGCUCACCCUCCCUCACCCGGCCCCUGCAGAGCCCAUGGCAUCAACGGGGCUUCCUGACUCAACUCAGGGCCACGAGGUCCAGGAGGGUCUCGGGGGACCCCUCCUCCAGGUUUCAGCUGGCCAGGGGUGGGAUUUAUGGCAGAAGGCAUCAGGGAUGAUGCCCAGAUGCAGGAGUCCUGAGGCUAGGACUGUGGGCCCCUGAAAGAUAACCCAGGGGCACGAGGCCUGGGAGACCCCUGGUCAGGAGGAAGCAAAAGCUGAGCUCAGAGGACAGGGUCCCUUUCCCCUGAGGCUGCUAUCUGUCUGCCUUCAUGGAGGGGACUGCCCAGGAGCAAAGGCAGUCAGGCCAGAGAUGGGUCCCAUGGUGUCCCAGGUGCAGAUCUCCCCAACCCAACUCCCUGGCCAGGCUGGGAUGGGAGAAAACCGACUUCUGGCCACUGCUGUGAGGAGCCUGCACCCUACUCUUGUCCAUAGUCACUAGCGCCCCUUCUCCCCAUCCCCACAGCUGGAGGUGACCCACUUUGGGCUGUGAUGCUGGCUGCUCCUGCCAUGACCUCCAGUGUCAAGGCAGGGAUGGCCCCAGGCCAGGCAGGGGAUGCUUCCCAAUAGGCCAGGACAGAGACCCCAGAACACUCUAGGUGGCAGGAGCAGCUUCCUGAGGGAGCCAGGGGCCCAGAGUGUCCUGGGUUUCUCCACACCCUCCUCAUACUCCACGUUGAGAAGCCACCACGGCCACCGGGCCUCUGUCAUUCACUCUCACCCUGCCACGCGGGCCCUGCUCCCAGGACCCCAGACUCACUUUUCCGCCAUCUCGUAGAAGAUCAUCCGGUCAGAGUUGCUCGUGUGCUGCCAUUCCCUCAUGGCCCGCCACAGUCCCUCCUCCAGGGUCAUGGUGGGCUUCCGCCGGGCCAGGGAUCGGAGAACUGGGCUGUAAACCAGUGCAGUCAGUCUCAGUCUAUAAGCCCACCCUUCAUCCCAAGCCCACCUGCUCCCAACACCUGGCCCCUGUCCUCCCCACACCUGUCCUGCCAUCUGACCCUGUCCUGUUCUCCCCCAUGUGGGCUUCUCAGGCCCCAGGACACACCCCCAAGAUCAAACAUCAACACAAGCUACCAAGUGGCCUCUCCGACUGCCCCUCGAGUCCUCAGUGUUGAGAAGUGGACUCAGUACUAUGGGUGGAACAUGUGUGUCUCCAACAUUCCUGUGCUGAAGCCCUCAGCACCAGUGUGUCAGUAUUUGGAGGCAAUCAGGGUUAAAGCAGGUCAUGAGCGUGGGUCCCAGUCAUGGAAUCCAAGCCCUGAUAAGGGCAGAAGGAGACGCCAGGGCUCUUGCUCUCAGCCACGAGGAGACAUAGCCAGAGACAGCUCUCUCCAGCCAGGAGGAGGGCCCUGACCAGACACCCCAUCUGCUGUCACCUUGAUCUGGGACUUCUGGCCUCUGGAACUGGGAGACAUGAAUGUGUCUUGAUAAAGCACCCAGUCUACGGCAUUCGUUAUGGCAGAGCCUGAGCUGACUGAGACAGCGUGCACACAGAAUGACCUGGGGGUGAGGGUUAAAGUGCAGGUUCCAGGGCCCCAAGACUGAGCAUUUAACCGGCUUCCUGGGGACUCUGGAGCAAGGCAGCCCCUGGGGACGUAGCCUCAGGGCCCUGGAGCAUGAGGAGCAGGAGCACACGUCCAGAACCAAAGCAGAGCGGUGUCCACGCCACUGCAAGCAGCAGGUCCAGAUCACACAUUCCCACAGGAGCCAUGGCAAAGGCCUGUGAGCCUGGGGCAGCUCCACCCCAAGAAUCAGGGUCCCCAGUGCACCGGGACUCCGCUCCAAGGAGGAAUGCAACCAGUUCCAGGGUGCGGGAACAGCGAGAUUUUUGGGAAUGAAAAUGGGGCCACCUUCCACCUACACCCCAGGCAGGGGACUUCCCUAGGGGAACGGCCAGUGUGUUGCACGGUGGAUGUGCUCAGGCUCCCGUUUGCUCAUCAGCGGGAAACACAGGGUCACAGAGGCACCGCAGGGUGGAGAGAGGCAGGGACUGGGAAUGAAACCACAAACUCUCCCAGAUGCUGACGUUGCUGCCUCACAGUCACCACAGUCCAUGGCCCUGGGCUGCUGGACUCAUGGUGCACUCAGAGCUAUCACUGGAGCCCGUGGCUUUGGGGAGUGCUCUCCUAGAUGGCCUAGUCUUGAUAAUGAUAGUAAUGGGGACAGUAAUCAUAACUGCUGUCAUGUAAUGUGUCAUAGCAUGUGCCAGGCACUGUGCUAUGCAUGUCAUAUGUGAGCUCAGGUUAUCUCUUCACCAUCCUCUGAAUGAAGCAUCAUUGUCCCUUUUUCUAGGAGGGAUUGAGGGUGAAGAUGCAAAUACCUGCCCGGCAUCGGCCCCAGUGCAGGGCCCAAGACCAUCCCCCUGUGCAGGCUCCACCACCGCUGUGCUAACUGGACCUCAGCGGAACUGCGGGCAUGUGCCAGGUUCCUGCUGGGCCCUGCAGCUCCUCCCCCCGGCCCCAUGUGAGGUGCUCCUGGCCAUCAAUACUGGGUUAAAGGGGAGGCACUGGGGUGUGUACUCAAAGACCUAAACCCAAACCGUAGCUCACGUCACACCAGGAACCCCCUCUGACCUGGGUCUUCUGUAAACAUUGUUGUGAAAAUUAUUGAAAGUAAGGAUUGGCUGCACUCACGGGACAGUGACGGGCAGUUGAGAUGAGGCCCCUGACAGUCUGUCCUGAGCCGCAGCCAGAUUAAUAUUGUUGAAAAUGUACCUUCCCAUAGUGCAGCCCAUCACCCUCACAACCGCCCUGCAAGCUCCCCUGAACAGCGUGACCUCCCGUCCAUCCAGCAGCCUCUUUACGUGUGAGCUGCAGGACCAGCUCCAAUGCCCCGAGGACACUCACAUGAGGAAGCACGAAAGCGCUUCGGUGUCAGGACUCUGGGGAAGGUGCCUCCGGGCCAGGGGCUUGUAGUGCUGCCAGAGUCGGAAGUUCUCAUAGACACUCCUGGGGUUACAGGAGUCAUCUGGCGGGGCCUUGGCCUGGGAGGAAGCCAGGCUGCCCUCUCCAUGAGCCCCUUGUGGCCAUGGCCCAGCAUUCCCUUGGGACACAAUGGGGGGCAACUGGGCAGCCGGUGGUGGUGGUGGUGGAAGAGGAAGGCCCUGGGACCAGCCUCCCUCACAGGCCUGGGUGCCCCCAACCACCUGGGCAGCCAUAACAGGCACCACAGGAGCAGCUGCCAGGAGUAGGGGAGGUGGACACACAACACCUCCGCAGAGGGCGCCCGGAGCCUGCCAGACGAGGGGGGCCUGAGUUAGGACCAAGGUCUGCGCCUGAGCGGCCUUCACAGGCCCCACCUCUGUCCUCAUCUGGACAAAGACGUUGGAAGCCCCGGCCCCACUCGGGCCGCAGCCAUCCUGUUCUGUCACCAGAGGUGUGCUGGGGAAGGUAGACAGCACCAGAGGGCCGCCUGGAGGAACCCCUGCAGUCACAAGGAGCGGCCUGUGUGCUGGGCCGGGAGCGGGUGUGGUGAAGGGCAGAGCCGUGAACACAGACAGGGAGGUGCCAGGGUUCACGGUCACGCCCGGUCCCAGCACUGGGUAUGC